Molecule: ribosomal RNA, 500 nt
Filed under: uncultured bacterium
Lineage: Bacteria
Description: partial 16S ribosomal RNA
Rfam family: Bacterial small subunit ribosomal RNA
Source: RNAcentral
ACUCAAAUGAAUAGACGGGGACCCGCACAAGCAGUGGAGUAUGUGGUUUAAUUCGAUGCAACGCGAAGAACCUUACCUGGGCUUGACAUGCACCUGACAGCUGCAGAGAUGCAGUCUUCUCGCAAGAGACAGGUGCACAGGUGCUGCAUGGCUGUCGUCAGCUCGUGCCGUGAGGUGUUGGGUUAAGUCCCGCAACGAGCGCAACCCUUGUCUUUAGUUGCCAACACGUAAUGGUGGGCACUCUAACGAGACUGCCUAGGUUAACUAGGAGGAAGGUGAGGAUGACGUCAAGUCCGCAUGGCCUUUAUGCCCAGGGCUACACACGUACUACAAUGGUCGGUACAGAAGGCAGCGAAACAGUGAUGUGGAGCAAAUCCUCAAAGCCGGCCCCAGUUCAGAUUGGAGUCUGCAACUCGACUCCAUGAAGAUGGAAUUGCUAGUAAUGGCGGGUCAGCAACACCGCCGUGAAUACGUUCCCGGGUCUUGCACACACCGCCCGU